UCCAUCUGAUGUAGAACCUGAAUAAUUUUAGCUGAGAGAGCCAUUCUAUUCCUUGUUUCUCAGUUACUGCUCUCAUGACUGCAUGCAGAAAGUGAUUUGAGGACCGAGAAGCUCUCCCAAACUGCUCUCAAAGAGAGAGAGGACAGAACACAGGAGGCCCUGAGUA
This 166-nucleotide long non-coding RNA is filed under the name Anser cygnoides (Swan goose). Its description in RNAcentral is "lncRNA (ENSACDG00005014529.1)". The record is from RNAcentral. Lineage: Eukaryota; Metazoa; Chordata; Aves; Anseriformes; Anatidae.